This 492-nucleotide ribosomal RNA is filed under the name uncultured bacterium. Its description in RNAcentral is "partial 16S ribosomal RNA". It matches the Rfam family "Bacterial small subunit ribosomal RNA", at positions 29 to 507 of the family's 1533-position model. The record is from RNAcentral.
AGUGAACGCUGGCGGUAGGCCUAACACAUGCAAGUCGAACGGCAGCACAGUAAGAGCUUGCUCUUACGGGUGGCGAGUGGCGGACGGGUGAGGAAUACAUCGGAGUCUACUUUUUCGUGGGGGAUAACGUAGGGAAACUUACGCUAAUACCGCAUACGACCUACGGGUGAAAGCAGGGGAUCUUCGGACCUUGCGCGAUUGAAUGAGCCGAUGUCGGAUUAGCUAGUUGGCGGGGUAAAGGCCCACCAAGGCGACGAUCCGUAGCUGGUCUGAGAGGAUGAUCAGCCACACUGGAACUGAGACACGGUCCAGACUCCUACGGGAGGCAGCAGUGGGGAAUAUUGGACAAUGGGCGCAAGCCUGAUCCAGCCAUACCGCGUGGGUGAAGAAGGCCUUCGGGUUGUAAAGCCCUUUUGUUGGGAAAGAAAAGCAGCAGGUUAAUACCCCGCUGUUCUGACGGUACCCGAAGAAUAAGCACCGGCUAACUUCGUG